CGCAAGCCUGAUGCAGCCAUGCCGCGUGUAUGAAGAAGGCCUUCGGGUUGUAAAGUACUUUCAGCAGUGAGGAAGGUGGGUAUGUUAAUAGCAUACUCAUUUGACGUUAGCUGCAGAAGAAGCACCGGCUAACUCCGUGCCAGCAGCCGCGGUAAUACGGAGGGUGCGAGCGUUAAUCGGAAUUACUGGGCGUAAAAGCGCAUGCAGGUGGUUUGUUAAGUCAGAUGUGAAAGCCCGGGGCUCAACCUCGGAAUUGCAUUUGAAAACUGGCAAACUAGAGUACUGUAGAGGGGGGUAGAAUUUUCAGGUGUAGCGGUGAAAUGCGUAGAGAUCUGAAGGAAUACCGGUGGCGAAGGCGGCCCCCUGGACAGAUACUGACACUCAGAUGCGAAAGCGUGGGGAGCAAACAGGAUUAGAUACCCUGGUG
Molecule: ribosomal RNA, 427 nt
Filed under: uncultured bacterium
Lineage: Bacteria
Description: bacterial SSU rRNA
Rfam family: Bacterial small subunit ribosomal RNA
Source: RNAcentral